Molecule: long non-coding RNA, 207 nt
Filed under: Gossypium raimondii (Peruvian cotton)
Lineage: Eukaryota; Viridiplantae; Streptophyta; Magnoliopsida; Malvales; Malvaceae
Description: long non-coding RNA (GRAI_LNC002869)
Source: RNAcentral
GGGUAUGGGGUGUUACAAAUGUAUAAAAUCAAAUUAUUACAACAUAGACAGACAAAGAACUAGAGCGAAGUAUAGAUUUAAACAAUUACAAUACAGAUUGACUAAGAAUUGGAACAACUGAAAUUAGAACUAACUGAAUUAAAACCUAUACACGACAACAUAUGGUGGAACUCGGAGACCCAUAUAUAUAAUUGCGCAUAGUGAAUC